Molecule: ribosomal RNA, 254 nt
Filed under: uncultured bacterium
Lineage: Bacteria
Description: partial 16S ribosomal RNA
Rfam family: Bacterial small subunit ribosomal RNA
Source: RNAcentral
GAUCAUGCUCAGAAUAAACGCUGGCGGCGUGUCUUAAGCAUGCAAGUCGGACGGCAAGCCGCCUUCGGGCGGCCUAGAGUGGCGGACUGGUGAGUAACACGUGGGUGAUAUACCUUUUGGACGGGGAUAGCCCCUAGAAAUAGGGGGUAAUACCGGAUAAGGCCGUGCGGGUUGGAGCCGCACGGGGAAAGGCGCUAUGGCGCCGCCGAAAGAAUAGCCUGCGACCUAUCAGCUUGUUGGUGAGGUAAAGGCCC